GGAAGCGUGCCCGAGAACAAAGGACCUCCUUGAUAGGGAGACUUACAGGGGUUCAACCCCCCUCGCCUCCUU
Molecule: transfer RNA, 72 nt
Filed under: Synapturanus sp. MZUSP 159221
Lineage: Eukaryota; Metazoa; Chordata; Amphibia; Anura; Microhylidae
Description: tRNA-Ile
Rfam family: tRNA
About the family: Transfer RNA (tRNA) molecules are approximately 80 nucleotides in length. Their secondary structure includes four short double-helical elements and three loops (D, anti-codon, and T loops).
Source: RNAcentral